CCUUGCUUCAAGAGUUCUAGCUCUUAAAACUCGACUAGCCCUAUAUCAGUCAGGCUUCUCCAAGAACCUGACUCGAUCCUUUUAGAUAUUUCUCUAGACUUUUGAUUUUUUUUCUUUAAGAUUCUCACAAUUCUUGUUUGGACCAGAUAAGGCUUUGUCUUAAAUCUCAAAGCCUUGUCCUAAAACUAAGAUAGGUUGUAAGAAAGAAGGGUGAGCAACAAAGAGA
RNAcentral lists this long non-coding RNA (226 nucleotides) under Elaeis guineensis (African oil palm). RNAcentral describes it as "long non-coding RNA (EGUI_LNC019654)". The record is from RNAcentral. Lineage: Eukaryota; Viridiplantae; Streptophyta; Magnoliopsida; Arecales; Arecaceae.